CAGUUCGGAUUGUAGUCUGCAACCCGACUACAUGAAGCUGGAAUCGCUAGUAAUCGCGGAUCAGAAUGCCGCGGUGAAUACGUUCCCGGGUCUUGUACACACCGCCCGUCACACCAUGGGAGUCGGAAAUGCCCGAAGUCUGUGACCCAACCGAAAGGAGGGAGCAGCCGAAGGCAGGUCGGAUGACUGGGGUGAAGUCGUAACAAGGUAAC
This 212-nucleotide ribosomal RNA is filed under the name uncultured bacterium. RNAcentral's name for it is "partial 16S ribosomal RNA". It matches the Rfam family "Bacterial small subunit ribosomal RNA", at positions 1289 to 1500 of the family's 1533-position model. The record is from RNAcentral.